UCUCUCGUUGCUUAGUGAUCAGAGCAUUGGUGCGUCAAUACAAAAGUCCCGGGUUCAAUUCCCGGCGAGGAUG
Molecule: transfer RNA, 73 nt
Filed under: Agrilus planipennis (emerald ash borer)
Lineage: Eukaryota; Metazoa; Arthropoda; Insecta; Coleoptera; Buprestidae
Rfam family: tRNA
About the family: Transfer RNA (tRNA) molecules are approximately 80 nucleotides in length. Their secondary structure includes four short double-helical elements and three loops (D, anti-codon, and T loops). Further hydrogen bonds mediate the characteristic L-shaped molecular structure. tRNAs have two regions of fundamental functional importance: the anti-codon, which is responsible for specific mRNA codon recognition, and the 3' end, to which the tRNAs corresponding amino acid is attached (by aminoacyl-tRNA synthetases). tRNAs cope with the degeneracy of the genetic code in two manners: having more than one tRNA (with a specific anti-codon) for a particular amino acid; and 'wobble' base-pairing, i.e. permitting non-standard base-pairing at the 3rd anti-codon position.
Source: Rfam by way of RNAcentral